UUUUUUUUUUUUUUUUUUUUUUUUUUUUUGUGGGUGGCAGGGGAGGCACACCUGUGGCACAUGGAAGUUCCCAAGCUAGGGGUUAAAUCAGAGCUGCUGCAGCUGCCAGCCUACACCAUAGCCACAGCAACAUCAGAUUCGAGCCUCAUCUGUAAGCCCUACUGCAGCUCUUGGCAAUACCGGAUCCUUAACCAACUGAGCGAGGCCAGGAAUUGAACCCUCAUCCUUAUGGAUACUAAUCAGUUCUUAACCCAGUGAACCACAACGAGGCUCCUACCUGUAUUCUUUUUGCUGCAAUUCUUCCUGUGUCAAAUAUCCCUAUACUGACCCAUACGCUCUUUCCAGUUUCAAUUUUCAUUGUUCUCAUCCUUCCAUAAGAAUAGGUAAGGGUCUGUUUUAUGUAAUUGUAUCUAGUUUUAUGCAAUUGUUCCUAGUUAUAUCCAUAUGUGCAUUGUUGUGGUAUGAGGGUGUUUAAUUAUGUGCAAAUACAAAAUCGUUUCCGUAUGUCAGUAUCCAUACAUAUGCCAACAAAUGGAUACGUGUGUACAUGUCUGUGAUUAUAACGCUGCAGAGCUGCACCAUCCCAUAUGAAUAGCCACUAGCAACAUGUGCCUAUUUAAAUUAAAUAAAAUUAAAUUUAAAAAAUUCAGUACCUCUGUAAAACUAGCCACAUUUUAAAUGUUCAGUCGUGUUCACAUGAUGCUAGUAGCUACAUACUGAAUGGAGCAGAUAUAGAAUUUUCCCACCAUCACUAAAAACCUAGCGGAUAAUGCAGCUGCAGGGAUUUCCUUUGCCCUUAGGAUGCAGUUCAGAGUCCAUAAUACGGCUGAUAAAAUCCAGACCUGGCCCUUCCUGACCUCUGUCACUAUCUCUCUUCAUACCUCCCUUCAAACACUGUUCUCCAGGCAUGCUGAACUUCUUUUAGUUCCUUGAGUAUUCUUCGCUCUCUUGACCGGGUUUCCAGCAUACUUUGCUUCCCUCUAGAAUACCCUUGGUAGCAUCACCUGUCUUCUUCCAUUUUCAGCUUCAGAGUCACGUCCUCAGGUAUUUCUCCCUGAUGGGGAGGUUCUGCAGUGGGCAUCCUAUUCUUGCCCUACAUUAAAAGUAAUACUUUAAAAAAAAAUUCUGGCAUUUUAUUUAUUUAUUUUUUUAAUUUAUUUUUUAUUUUUUGUCUUUUUGCCAUUUCUUGGGCUGCUCCACGGCAUAUGGAGGUUCCCAGGCUAGGGGUCGAAUUGGAGCUAUAGCCACCAGCCUAUGCUAGAGCCACAGCAAUGCGGGAUCCGAGCCACGUCUGCAACCUACACCACAGCUCACGGCAAUGCCAGAUCCUUAACCCACUGAGCAAGGCCAGGGAUCGAACUUGCAACCUCAUGGUUCCUAGUUGGAUUCAUCAACCACUGAGCCACGACGGGAACUCCGACUCUGGCUUUUUAAAUGACACCUAAUUCCCCGCUAGAGUGUAGGGUCCAUGAAGCCAGGACACAUGUGUCACUGUGUCAUACUGUGUCAUGCUGCUUAACUUCUGCCAUGCCAGACACGCAACUGGCACUUAGGAAAUGAAUAUGUGCAAAUAAAUAAAUGUCUGGUGUGCACAGCCUCAAAGAUGGGAGUAUGGGCAAUUGCAUCUAUAAUGACAAGAUAUGUUGUGGCCCCUCUGUGUUUACAUGCCACUGAUGCCAGGACACAACUUGCAUGUGUGAGAAGCAGAGGGGAGCAGAGAGAGUGAGGAGGGGAAGGUAAGAAGGUGGGGAAUCAGAGCGACAGAAGAAGCAGGGAAUUCCCUCGGAAGCAGGGCUGAGAGCCUCAGCAGCCACUCCCCCUGGGUCUCCUCCCUGUCCCAUGAGGAGGGGACAGGAGUUGAGUCAGAGUCC
This 1871-nucleotide long non-coding RNA is filed under the name Sus scrofa (pig). RNAcentral's name for it is "lncRNA (ENSSSCG00005004280.1)". The record is from RNAcentral. Lineage: Eukaryota; Metazoa; Chordata; Mammalia; Artiodactyla; Suidae.